Molecule: small nucleolar RNA, 143 nt
Filed under: Octodon degus (degu)
Lineage: Eukaryota; Metazoa; Chordata; Mammalia; Rodentia; Octodontidae
Description: Small nucleolar RNA SNORA48 (ENSODEG00000021520.1)
Rfam family: Small nucleolar RNA SNORA48
About the family: The snoRNA ACA 48 has been identified to guide pseudouridylation of the residue U3797 in the 28S rRNA subunit. Its host gene EIF4A1 (eukaryotic translation initiation factor 4A1) is shared with U67 and snoRNA mgU6-77
Source: Rfam by way of RNAcentral
CACCCUGGCAAUGGGCAAAGAGACACCUCAUUGGCAGUGUUGUUCUUGUAUCAGUCAGGGGCAGAGCAGAUGACAGUCCUUUGUUCAUCCUAGCUUGACGCCUGGGUUGGUGGCCAAAGCUGUUUUAUGCCUAGGGAACAUUA